AGUAGUCGGUGUUGGCUGCGGCGAGGAGCGGUCUGCUGUGUUGCUCGGGGAGGCAGUGUGCGCCUGCGCGGUUCAGAUAAUUUAAGAGACAGCGAGUAGCGAGUGAGUUCUUGAAGUGCAGGAACCGUUAGCAGCGGUGUGGGUGCUCGCGGAAACAAGUGGAUAAAUGGAUAUUGUGGGUGGAUAACGGAGCGGUGGAAGUACCCGCGCGUGGCUGAGUGUGGAUGCAGGGUGGAUGAGGGCAUGCCAGGAGCGUGAGCGUGAGGCAACCACGAGUCCCCGUCGGUGACUCCUCGCGCGGGGGCAAAAAGAGUGAUGCUCAAUUAAUUACUGUGUUCGUGAUAAAGUUGAGUCACACGGGAGCCAGCCGGCAGCCACCAGCCAGGCCCCGCGCGCCGCGCAGCCACCCUCGAUACCCACAGUGCGGGCGGGAGGGACGCUGCCGCCCCACCCGCCGGGAUGUUUGUGUUUGUGUGCCCCGCGGGGGCGGCCCUCCGAGUGCCGCGCGGCAGCCUCCGGGGCAAGGUGGCCACAGGGUGAGCACCGCCGCCCGUGACGCUCCCGUGAAUACCUGGACGCCGGCGUGUGUGAACGAAGCGUGUGUCUUACCUGUACACGGCUUUAUCGAGGGAGCUGAGGACGCCACCGGGGCACGGCGACCACGGGAUGAGUCUGGCCUUGACGCUCCCAGAAUACCUGUGAAAACUAGUCGUGUGUUUACCUGCGGCCGCCCUGAGCGAGGGAGCCGAGGACAGGACAAGGUGCCCGGACCUUGAUGCCGCCCCCGCCGUGGCCCCCGGCGUAGCAGUGGCGUGGAUGGACUCCAGGACCACCAGGCUGAUUGAUGAGUUGCUCCACCACCGCCGGGACCACCUGGGCCGGCGGCGCCCUCCUCCACACAGGAUGAAGGUGAGCUGCGCGCCUUCCUGAGGGUGGUGGGUGGCGGGCGGGGGGUCUGUAGGCUGGGGAGGGGUGGGCCCAGGGCGCCUCUAAGGCGUAUUUUCUGCAAUACAGGUCGCGGGAGACUAAUAUUUGGGUCGCCGCUUCUUUACUUGUAAAUAACUUAAUACCAGACGACGGGACGCGGCUCUCAGUCCGGCCACGAGGCUUGCAUUGCGUCGCGAGGGCGAGGCUGUAAGGGAACUGUGUCACGUUGAAAGAAGCCAAAGUUUGGGGAUGGACAGUGGCUUGUUGGGUCUGGGUCUUCCUUCGCCGUCCCUAGCAUCUAACUCAGUCAUGAUACCGUUGUGAUUACGCUGAAAUAAAAGGUACAAAAACAUGCGUCGAUGGAGAUGAGCCCUUUUAUAAAUUAUUGACGGUGUAAUAAAAAAACGGUAAAAACAACACUUGGGUAAAUUUUUGGGCUUGUUAACACUCCGGAAAUUCGAUUUUAAAACUGGUAAAUAAAUGCUCCGUCAAAAGUUAUGAGUUAAACAACACUGCUCCGGGGUUGUUGAUGCUAAUGGCUCAGCGUCUAACAGGACAUCGCGGGCCCAAUUAUUUUGAUGACGGUUAUCUGGCGGGAGAGCGGCGCGUGGGACACCUGUGAGGGGAGUUAAUUAACCUGCACGACCGUCACCGCUUGGACUAAAAAGAAAACUAUUUACAUUAACCUUCCAAUAACCAACACAACACCAACCUUAUUAACCACCUGACUAAAAAAUAAAUGUCGAGAAGGAGAACAAUGAUUUGGAGAUGGAGGAGAAGUAGAAGAGAGAAAAAAGGAGGAGAAAGAUGCAGGAUUGAAGAAAGAAGGGCAUGGGAUAAAAGAGUGAAGGAAAAGGAAAAGGGAAAAUAGAAGGGGCAGAGCAGGACGAAUAAAAUUAGAAAGAGUUAGAAGAGGACGAGGAAGGAUACGGUGAAAAAAGCACCAUAUUAAACUACACCAGCACAAGAACGCCCUCAAGAUCAUACAGGCAAAAAAAAGAUAAA
This is a long non-coding RNA of Eriocheir sinensis (Chinese mitten crab), 1932 nucleotides long. RefSeq lists it as uncharacterized. The record is from RefSeq and is a predicted model, not a curated record. The transcript has 2 exons. Lineage: Eukaryota; Metazoa; Arthropoda; Malacostraca; Decapoda; Varunidae.